AUUGAACGCUGGCGGCAUGCCUUACACAUGCAAGUCGAACGGCAGCACGGGUGCUUGCACCUGGUGGCGAGUGGCGAACGGGUGAGUAAUACAUCGGAACGUACCUUAUCGUGGGGGAUAACGCAGCGAAAGCUGUGCUAAUACCGCAUACGCUCUGAGGGGGAAAGCGGGGGAUCGAAAGACCUCGCGCGAUUAGAGCGGCCGAUGCCAGAUUAGCUUGUUGGUGGGGUAAAAGCCCACCAAGGCGACGAUCAGUAGCUGGUCUGAGAGGACGAUCAGCCACACUGGGACUGAGACACGGCCCAGACUCCUACGGGAGGCAGCAGUGGGGAAUUUUGGACAAUGGGGGCAACCCUGAUCCAGCAAUGCCGCGUGAGUGAAGGAGGCCUUCGGGUUGUAAAGCACUUUUGUCAGGGAAGAAACACCGGCUCUAACACAGUCCGGGAAUGACGGUACCUGAAGAAUAAGCACCGGCUAACUACGUGCCAGCCGCCGCGGUAA
This 501-nucleotide ribosomal RNA is filed under the name uncultured bacterium. RNAcentral's name for it is "partial 16S ribosomal RNA". It matches the Rfam family "Bacterial small subunit ribosomal RNA", at positions 29 to 523 of the family's 1533-position model. The record is from RNAcentral.